GGGACUGCAAACUGUAUCCAGCAGCGGUUGUAGAGCAUUAACAUUUCGAUCGAAGCUUUUGGUAGCUGCACAGAGAGAAGUUAGGUUCUCACCACUUAAAUGCCAUCUACAUGCGAAGAAAACAUCAGCAUCAAGAAUGUGAUCUUAGGGAACACACCUCCCAGGAGAACCAAGUCAAGAAAGUGGAUCCUUUCAGGUCACUGAAGUCAACAAUGCCCUCUGCAUCAGAAUCGAAAAGUUUCAUGGUCAAAUCAGUGACACCUAUUGGUUUUUGGCAUAGAAGACAACCGUG
Molecule: long non-coding RNA, 292 nt
Filed under: Musa acuminata (dwarf banana)
Lineage: Eukaryota; Viridiplantae; Streptophyta; Magnoliopsida; Zingiberales; Musaceae
Description: long non-coding RNA (MACU_LNC005003)
Source: RNAcentral